RNAcentral lists this ribosomal RNA (559 nucleotides) under Salmonella enterica subsp. enterica serovar Enteritidis. RNAcentral's name for it is "partial 23S ribosomal RNA". It matches the Rfam family "Bacterial large subunit ribosomal RNA", at positions 1 to 585 of the family's 2925-position model. The record is from RNAcentral. Lineage: Bacteria; Pseudomonadati; Pseudomonadota; Gammaproteobacteria; Enterobacterales; Enterobacteriaceae.
GAGGUUAAGCGACUAAGCGUACACGGUGGAUGCCCUGGCAGUCAGAGGCGAUGAAGGGCGUACUAAUCUGCGAUAAGCGCCGGUAAGGUGAUAUGAACCGUUAUAACCGGCGAUACCCGAAUGGGGAAACCCAGUGUGAUUCGUCACACUAUCAUUAACUGAAUCCAUAGGUUAAUGAGGCGAACCGGGGGAACUGAAACAUCUAAGUACCCCGAGGAAAAGAAAUCAACCGAGAUUCCCCCAGUAGCGGCGAGCGAACGGGGAGGAGCCCAGAGCCUGAAUCAGCAUGUGUGUUAGUGGAAGCGUCUGGAAAGGCGCGCGAUACAGGGUGACAGCCCCGUACACAAAAGCGCAUGUGCUGUGAGCUCGAUGAGUAGGGCGGGACACGUGGUAUCCUGUCUGAAUAUGGGGGGACCAUCCUCCAAGGCUAAAUACUCCUGACUGACCGAUAGUGAACCAGUACCGUGAGGGAAAGGCGAAAAGAACCCCGGCGAGGGGAGUGAAAAAGAACCUGAAACCGUGUACGUACAAGCAGUGGGAGCCCCACCACCAAAGCAUU